GAUGAACGCUAGCUACAGGCUUAACACAUGCAAGUCGAGGGGAAACGGCAUUUAGUGCUUGCACCGAAUGGACGUCGACCGGCGCACGGGUGAGUAACGCGUAUCCAACCUACCCAUUACUGUGGGAUAACCUGCCGAAAGGCAGACUAAUACCGCAUAGUCUUCGAUGACGGCAUCAGAUUUGAAGUAAAGAUUUAUCGGUAAUGGAUGGGGAUGCGUCUGAUUAGCUUGUUGGCGGGGUAACAGCCCACCAAGGCGACGAUCAGUAGGGGUUCUGAGAGGAAGGUCCCCCACAUUGGAACUGAGACACGGUCCAAACUCCUACGGGAGGCAGCAGUGAGGAAUAUUGGUCAAUGGACGAGAGUCUGAACCAGCCAAGUAGCGUGCAGGAUGACGGCCCUAUGGGUUGUAAACUGCUUUUGUAUGGGGAUAAAGUCAAUCACGUGUGAUUGUUUGCAGGUACCAUACGAAUAAGGACCGGUUAAUUCCGUGCCAGCAGCCGCGGUAAUACGGAAGGUCCGGGCGUUAUCCGGAUUUAUUGGGUUUAAAGGGAGCGUAGGCCGGAGAUUAAGUGUGUUGUGAAAUGUAGACGCUCAACGUCUGACUUGCAGCGCAUACUGGUUUCCUUGAGUACGCACAACGUUGGCGGAAUUCGUCGUGUAGCGGUGAAAUGCUUAGAUAUGACGAAGAACUCCGAUUGCGAAGGCAGCUGACGGGAGCGCAACUGACGCUUAAGCUCGAAGGUGCGGGUAUCGAACAGG
This 761-nucleotide ribosomal RNA is filed under the name Prevotella melaninogenica. RNAcentral's name for it is "bacterial SSU rRNA". It matches the Rfam family "Bacterial small subunit ribosomal RNA", at positions 28 to 776 of the family's 1533-position model. The record is from RNAcentral. Lineage: Bacteria; Pseudomonadati; Bacteroidota; Bacteroidia; Bacteroidales; Prevotellaceae.